Molecule: transfer RNA, 68 nt
Filed under: Comaster schlegelii
Lineage: Eukaryota; Metazoa; Echinodermata; Crinoidea; Comatulida; Comatulidae
Description: tRNA-Ser
Source: RNAcentral
GAAGCUUAUAGGUUUAACAGGAUCCUGCUAAGUUUAUUGUUUUGCGGUUCAAGUCCGUAGAAGUUUCG